UCUAGGUUUUCUUUGGGAGGGGAGGGAAGUUUUUAAUGAUUUAGGGUUGGGGGGGAGCCCAAAGGAGGAAAAGAAAUCAUGUUUUUCUCUAUCGAGGUCUUCCUUCAGAGAAAGAAAAGGUGGUUGGGUGGGACAAAAUCUAGGUUUUCUUUGGGAGGGGAGGGAAGUUUUUAAUGAUUUAGGGUUGGGGGGGAGCCCAAAGGAGGAAAAGAAAUCAUGUUUUUCUCUAUCGAGGUCUUCCUUCAGAGAAAGAAAAGGUGGUUGGGUGGGACAAAAUCUAGGUUUAUUUUGGGAGGGUCCAAAGGAGGAAAAGAAAUCAAAUUUUUCUCUAUCUCUGUUCAGAGAAAGAGAGAAAAGGGGGUUGGGUGGGAUAAAAUCUAGGUUUUGGGGGAGAGGGAGGGAAGGUUUGAUGAUUUAGGGUUGGGGGGGAGCCCAAAGGAGGAAAAGAAAUCAUGUUUUUCUCUAUCGAGGUCUUCCUUCAGAGAAAGAAAAGGUGGUUGGGUGGGACAAAAUCUAGGUUUAUUUUGGGAGGGUCCAAAGGAGGAAAAGAAAUCAAAUUUUUCCCUUUCUAUCGAGGCCUUCCUUCAAAAAGAGAGAGAGAGAAAAUGAGGUUGGGUGGGACAAAAUCUAGGUUUAUUUGGGAGGGGAGGGUAGAUUUGCUGAUGGUUUGGGGUGGGGGGGGGGGGGGGGGUGUGGCCGAAAAGAGGAAAAGAAAAGAAAUCAAAUUUUCUCUCUCUAUCAAGGGCUUCCUUCAGCCCCUCACUCAGAGCAAGAGAGAGAAAGGGGGUUGGGUGGGAAAAAAUAACAAAUCUAGGUUUGGGGAGGGAUGGGUGUAAUCCUUUUUGAGAGAAAGCUGCCUCCUCCAAAUCUAUUUUGGGCCAACCCUGAGCGGGAAUUGUCCAGUAUCCGAUUUGGACCAGCCUCUUUUAUUUUUUUGUUUGUUUGUUUUGAGAGGAAAAUUGUGUUGAAAAUCCAUUUGGAGAGGCAACCAUGUCUCAAAGUUCAUUUGGGGGGUGGUGGUGAGAGAAUUGUGUUGCAAAAGCCAUUUGGGAAAAUUUUGAGGGGAAGAAUUGGUUUGAAUAGAAAACUUCUUAAAAUCCAUUUUGGGCCAGCCUCUCGCUUUGAGGGGAAAAUUGCGCCGCAAAGUCCAUUUGGGGAAAUCUUUGGAUAGCAAACCAUGUCUUGAAAUCCGUUUCAGGGGAAUCUUGGAGGGCAAAUUGCAUUGAAAAAUCCACUUGGGAGACUUGAGCAGAUUGUCUCGAUUGAGAAUUCAAAGUCUGAAAUCGGGGAAGCCUGGGAGCAAAUUGUGUUUGCAAAGAAGAAAAAAAAACUAACCUGGGGAAACCUUGCAGAGUAAAUAGUCUUCACUGCGAUGUUAAAAAAAAUCUGAUUGGGGAGUCAAAUUGUGUGAAGUUUCAGCCCCCGCAGAAGAAAGAAAUGUUUUCAAAGUCGAUUUGAUGUCUCAAAAGAAAGAUGUUUCCAAACCGAAACCUUCCAGCUAAGCAGGGGGAGAAAAAUUGAGUCGCUCACAAAAAUUGAGAAAAUAGUAUUUUUUGGGAAACAGUGGAAUGUACUAUUGAGGAGGAAGAGGAGGAGGAAACAGCAGCUUGCAAUAAAGAAAAUGUGUGCAUGUACAUGGAAACAAACAAUCAAAAAUACAAAUGGGGCAGUUUCAUCUCCAAGAUGAAUAAACCAGUUCAUUGCAAAAUACACACUGUUAUUUGUGGAAAAGUAUCGUUGUCGCUGAAACAUCAAUUCAGUUUUUUAAAAGGAAGCAGUUCAUUGUGACGCAAAAGAGGUUCUUAACAUGAAAAGUAAGAGACGACAAAAUAUGACCUCGACCUGAGAGAGAAAUUAUUUGCAGAGACAUCACGUCACUUGAAGCCAGCAACACUUUAGAAAAGUUCUUUUCGUAUCAGACAAAAAGUUCUCAUGGAAUUUUUAAAAAUUAUUUUAAAUACUGGACAAUCGAGUCAUUUUUAAAUUUGUUUUCGUUCUUAAGUAUUUCAAAUAUAUCUUUGAUAAAAACUGUUGUGUUCCUGAUGUAGAAAAAUGAAUGUUUUUAAACAAUCAAGUAUGAAGGCUUGACAUAGUCUACAGUAUGGCGCUAGUUCCACAUGAUAUCUACUGCCAGGGCUUACAUGUAGAAAGGUGAUUGCUAACCUCCAUUAGUAAUACUUAUUGUAUUUUGGUCAUCUGCAGUGCAUUUCCCUCCCUGAGUAAGUUUGGCAGUGUUACAUGUAUUCUGUAUAACCAUUCCAAUGUAAACCAUCAGCAAGGAUUCUACUGCUAGUAUGAACUUGUUGCCCUUGUAGUAGAGACUACUUGUAACUAGCCCAGGUGCUACUGUUGAACACACGGCAUGUCGAACCCUGUAAGGAAUAUUCAAGUUUCUUUCUAAGCUUUUCUUUUUAAAAAGUGGCUAUCCAUGACAUACGAUUUGACUUUUCCAGACUUGAGAAUGUGCAUUUGCUUUUAAACAGAAUAAUUGUAUAAAAAUUUCACGCAACCACCACUUUCCCAAGAAACAUUAUUUAUGUGCACAAAGUUAUAAGUGAUUGGAUAGAGUAGAUGAGAAAAAAAAAUUGAUUAACCCAGCUUAAGCCGGCAUUUAAAAUCAAGGGGUCAUAUAGCUUUUUAGGUUUUUUUUAAAUUUUGUCUUGAGUCGUGCAGGAGUUUAGGCUUUUUGAACUGUAUUUAUUUAUUAGAAGCAGUAAUUAUAUUUUGCAGUAUUUUCACUUUAAAGGCUGUGGAGUGUUCUUUUAGAACAGAUACCGAAGCCAUUCCCUGCCUGUUGACUCGAGCUGCCGGUGAGUCUGAACUGUUGUUAGCGUUUUUCCCACAUUAUAACGGUAUUGCGAUUUGUGUGCAUUCACUGUGGUCCCCUCGCAAGCUUUCUUCUCUGUAUUUUAAAGAUCAAUUUCUCCCCUAAGUAAGCCCCUCUUUAAAAAUUGUGAUGUGUUGUCCAAGUGUGUUGAAGCGUAGGAAUCAAAGCCAGGACAUUGACAUCAUGUUCACGAUUGAACAGCUUCCAGUUUGAAUGUAUUCUGAUGUAGACAGACAUAAACAAUGUCAAGCUCUUGUCAGCUUGUAGUCAAGGACACCUGGGAGAAACUGCUGAGCAAUAUAUAUAUAUAUAUAUAUCACUUUAACCCUGGUGGGUAAGUGAUUACCCGCACCAGGUCUGGGUCUGUUACACUUUGUAUAUUUUGGUUUUCUGUUCCUUAGCCUGAGGAGUCUGUGGAGAUAGUAGGAUGUGCUGUACAUAACCACGUUUGAGGUUGCCAUCCACCUGGGGCCAGUUUGCACCUUGUUUCUCCAUUUGACCUGUCAGAAAAGCUAUCUCAGCAUGUUGAUAAGCGGCACCCUUGUUCGGUACAGCAGUCUGCACACCCGCCAGUUAGCCUGCAGUACUGGUUAGACUCUGAGCUGAGCAGCUGCCGCUCGGAUUAAAUAGGUCAGAUGUGCUUUCAGUACAACCAAGAGAUUGCCUUUUCGGCAGCAUUGGGAAUACAGGGAAGGCUGACCUUCCAAGGCAACGCGAGCCAGGUUACUCGUUACGCAUGUCCGGUAUUCAGCAGAUCAUCUCACUCAGUAUGCUCUGUUCAAUAUCAACUUAUGUUUUUUUUUCAAGAAAAGUAACGUUACUCAAAACGAAAGUAUACAAAGUGAAUGGUCCAGAUAUUUUCCACUGUCAAGAGUAUCUUCUACAGACACAGUGCAAUAGCCUCAUUUAGCAAUCAUUUUAAAAUUAGUUCAGAGAGCUUGCAUAUACAGCAACCUUUAUGUGUCACUAUCGGUUCUGCUGUGUGGUGACAUAGUAUUUUUUUUAAAUUCUACACAGUGGGUAAUGAAUUUUAAAAAGGCUUUUGUUAAUGUGGGAUUUUUAAAAUCUCCUUCUGCUUUUUUUAAAAAACCGAUUGUAGAAUAUAUUUUAUACAAAUUUCUAGACUUGAUUUUAAGGCCUUUUUUAAAAAAAAAAAUGCAGAUGAAAGUUUCCUGAUCAAUUAUUGAGCCGUUUGGCUUUGUUCCCUUCGUUGCUAAUGAUGUGCAAGGCAAUCGAGCCAGUUUGGUGACAUUCCAAGUUCUGCGAGCUUACAUGUAAGCUGCUAAAACAGAAAUAGCUGAGCGUGAGUGGAAAGGACCCUUCGCUUGGCUUGCUCGGUGCACAUUGAACUGAAGGGCAAAGCCUCUUUUCAGUGUUCCUUUCUGAUUUCCUUUUAAAUGUGCAGCAACUUGAGGAAAAUGAAGGCUUCAAGGAGCCUCUUUGCAUAGCUGGGCAAUGGGCUACUGAACUUCACUGCGCUCCACUAGGACUGCAGUCCUAAUCCCAGUCUUUGGUUCCUAAGUUAAUGUCUCAGAUGGAUGGACAGCAUCCCCCCCCCCCACCACCACCAUGUGUCCCAGAGCUGCAGAUGUGGGAUGGGUGAUUGUCCGAAAGUGCCACUUCUGGUCUCUGCAAGUACUGAGGGUACUAUCUGUGGUGCUCGAGAUGCAGAACUAUUUCAGGUGCAACUCACUUUAUCUGAAGUUACCAGCCAGCACUCUAGGCUGAUUCUGUCUGAAUAAUAAGCUUCCUUUUAGGAGUCCAAAAGUGGAGUUUGGCUGUGGAAAUGUGAAGAUUGUCAGAAUGAGGGACAAUCUGAAUUUGUUGUUUGCCCUAUUCCUCUGUAUUGGAUCGGUGUUAAUGCACAUUUAAGAAAACUAGCUGAUCUUCUGCGGUCUAAACCACUUGAUUUGUUGGUGUUGAGCGGUGUGGAAAGAGGAAGCAGAAUGAAGAAAGAUGUGUCUCUCAUUGGAGAAGCCUUUUCAGAAUCCAGUUCAGGGGUGGGGGGGGGUUUGUGGGGGGGAAGAGAUAUGAUUAAUCUUGUACAUAUGUGUACUUAAUCCAGCCAUGAAAAUAAAAGAGAGCUGCAACUUAACAGAUUCUAUUUCAGAAAUAUCGUAGCCCUCUUACUGAGAAGUAAUGUAUAGAAGGGAGAGGGGGAAAAAGUCUUGUCGGCUUCUGUGGUUGUUGGUGUCUGAAUUACCAUGGGGUACCAUGCUGUUGGGUGUAAGUUGGUUAUGUAAGCAGAUCAGCGAGGCCUGCCCCUUCAGGCACCCUCAGUGAGUCCCAGCAAAGUGAUUGCAUAGCGCCUGGAGUCUAUGUUUUUAAAUAAACUAACCAGAUGUGUAGGUUGCAGAAUUUUAAGGAUUUUCUCAUUUCAAAAUAUUUUUUGAAAAUUGCAGUUCCCGUGCGCCCCUCCGUUAACUGAUCUUGAGACCAACUAGCCGAUUUCCAGCGAGCAGCUCCGUGGGUGUUCUGUGUGAUUAGGUUGAGCAGUGGCGAUUUGUACACUUUGAUGCCCGAGUCACUUGUUAAGAAAAAGAGACUCCUUACCCGGCUUGUCAGAUUCCUCAAAGUCCCGUGUCCUUAGACUGUGCUGCAAGUACUUGGAACGUGUCCGUGCUCUUUGGUUCGAGUGCUUGUGGCUCAUUGGUUAGUUCAGUCAUGCUCGGCCGAUGGGUAACGAGCUGUAAAGCUGCCUGGGCAUGUAACACCAGCGCGCAAGUGAAUACAGUGGGUUGUUGCUCGCCCCAUGCCUCCUGGCGCCUCUUGCGACCAAUUAUUGACCCUGUUGUAGGGAGCUGCAGUUUGGGAUUUCUCGUGCCGGACCUCCACCCUUGCAGUCCUCCUGAUCCUGAUCCCUCUUUGGGUUGUUAUUUGCCAACGUACACCUGGCCCGUGGGUAGGGGAGGUGCGUAUUUCUGAAGUAAUCACUCGAGCAGUUCAUCAGUGCUAUCGAGUAGAGCAGUGUUUAAGUGUUCAUGAUGUCCGGUGAUUUCACUCGUAAUGAAGUAAGCUUUUUCCUGCAUUUGUAAGUUUAAGCUGAAUCUUGACACAUGGAGAGAUACCAAUGUGUGUAAAUGAUGAGCUAGUAAUCUAUACUUAAAAGAUACAAAUUAUACUUGAUCUACUUUAGGUAUUUUGGUAAUUGACUAAAAUUGCUACUUUUCUUUGUCUUGGUUUGAGUGAUUCACAGUUCUGGUUUUUUUUGUUUUAUGCGUUAUUUAUAGUUUCUCCUGCUCCUCCUUUUCAAAACAUCUCAAUGUGUUAGCUGAGAGCCAUGCAGCCAGCUCCCACAUUCCUACUUGGAUUAUUCCAGCCAACAGUUGCUGAGACAGGCCAGUCCGAGUCGGUCUUUCAACGUUGCAUAUCCCUUUGUCGGUGAGUUUCAACAGGCGUGCAUGGACUUUCUCAGCAAGAAAUUACCUCAGACUGAAAGGCGCACACCAGGAUGCCCCUCUGCCACCAGACCCUGGUUGGCAGUGCCAGUGUGGUCCCCUGAAAGGUCUGAAGCUCAACAUUUUGAAGCCCAGUCUCCUUUGCUAGUCGCUGGGCCUGUUUGGAACUUUGGAAGGCUUUUACCAUGUGUUAGAAAGUUGUAAUCUCGCAUCCCCUGCAGCAGUUUGAUGACACGCUCGGUCUGGCAACCCCAGGGCGCAUGUCCCAUUCACUGCCGCUGCUGCUUUCGGACUCUGGUAUCUGCCAGUCUCCACCUUUACCCAUCAGCUUGUUGAGGAUGGCCCAAUCCUCAGCAUUCGGUGCUCCUGUUGCUGCCCGCUGCUUUGGUCUACCGUAAUCAUGUUCGCCAUAGAAGUCAAUCGCACGGAUGCCAGAGUCCAGCACCUGCCCCGGCACCUUUGGGGGUCUUUUUGCCCCCCCAUGGGUCGAGGCAGGUCCACCAGCUGAUUGAGUGAGUAAACUGCCCCGUUCCCCAGUUCCUGGGGCCAUUCUCGAAUGGUGCAAGUGUGUGCUAUUUCCCCCCGGGACAGCUCAUUUUAAAUCAUUUAACCCGCUUGUAUAUGGCAAGAAGAAUAAAAAAACAAGUUAGCAUAUGGUAAAUUGUUUAAAAAAAAAAGGGUUGAGCUUGCUCUCCAGGAGCACACGAGGCCACGUGUCCUCUGUUGGAGAGCAGCAACUCCACAUAGUUAAUGGUUGUGUCUUCAUUUUGUAAGUGACACUGCUAGGAAGGGGGGCAUGUUAGUCAUGGAACCAGAUGGGUAACGCUCAUUACCCUGUUAGCACGGCAUGGCCAGAAACCAUUCCUGCCUUUAAAAUGCAGUCAGUCGGAUUCAAGGCGCCAGGUCAUCUUAACUGGCUGGUGACCCUCCCAGUUUUCUUGAGUCUUACCCAGCUGACUUGCGGUUCUAAUGUUGUGCGCCUAGCUACCUCUCUGAUUUCUGUUGUAUUCCACUUGGAAAAAAAGAAAUGUACAGUCGCAUCUGCUUGUAUUGUUUUUUUGCCAUGUACAUUAGGCUCCGACUGAUACGCGGUUAAAUUAGUGGCAAGAUUUGUGAGAAGUUGCUUCGUGACAAAACAAAUGAUGAAUAUUGACAUAAUAUAGUUAAAUAUGUACUGUGAGUCUUUUUUUUAUAUAUAAUAGAUUUUUAAAGAGAUUUGAGUUUGUUACCCACUUCUGAUCAUUGUGUGACGCUGUAUCAAUGGUCUGUGUGCUUAAAGGUCAAGGAAAAAGGUUGGGUCGGUUUUAUUUGGUGAGGAAAGGUCAGGCAGCAAAGGUUGAAAGCCCUGCCUUUGUGAUUUGGCUGGUAUUGUCUGCCUUUCUGUAAAGAAUUGAUAUUUCCAUGGGUUGAAAACAGCUGGGGGGGCUUCAUUUCCAGGCUGCUGAUCUUGAUAGUCUGUCAGCAAACAAGAUUCUGGAUUUCUACAUCUUGCCUGCUGCUCACUCGUACUCUCAGAUAGGGCAUCCUUGUCGAUGUGCCACAAGUAUCCCCUGUACUCACUCUCAGGCCCUCUGCCAGCCGGUCUCUCGGUCGGAGAGGGGGCUUCUGUGCGAGGUUAAAGUGAUUCUCGACUCUCAGGAGCUUAGCCUAGCUCUGGUACCUUAUCCAGGAGAGGUUCAAGGCUUCCUGUUUAUAUUGGUCAGGCGGUUUCACAUAUUCCAGCACAGGUUUGAAUCCGAGGUGUGGGUUCUCCAGGUGAUUUGGAACUGCACUGGAUGCCCGAGUCUUGAGUGGGAGGGGGAUGGCAGCCUCAACGGGAAAUGAAAGUCUGGUAGCUGAGGACAAACCCAAGCUUCCAAACAACAUGCCUGAGGGUUUGGCCCAAGUUUCAGACUGAUUGUCUGUGUGUUAUGGUAGCCCAAGACUGUGCGAUCCAAAACCACUCAACUUGCUUCAUCGUUUCAAGUGAUGAAGAUCUUUCCAAACAUAGAGCAGACUUCUUCACCUCAGAGGUCUCGGUGUGUUUUUUUGAACCAUGAUAAUUGUUGGAGCACCAGGUUGUAUUCGGCCUUGGUCAGUCAGAUAUCUUAACAUUUGCAAUUUGCUCAGUUUGAGUUUGACCAUUCUUCUGAUUGCACAAUUUCUUUUUUUUUUUGCUGUUUUAGUUUUAUUUUGGAAGAAUUUAAACCCGAAAGAAACAAAAGCUUUUUUACUUGACCUUUAAAAUGGGCAUUUAUCAGAAAAAGAAACACUAACUCUUGUGUGCAAACUAUUUCAAGACAACUUGACUAAACUGCCUUUUGAAUUCUAAUCAACCCCAUGUUCUGUUCACUUAGAAAGUUUGAAGUGCCUAUUGUGCCGAAUGGGAAAUUAGGCUUGUCAAACAGAAAAGCCUGGAUGUGUAGAGGAGAGUAAUAUGGCAUCCAUCUUUUGCAUUAAUCGCUUAAUCCUUGCACCCACUUCAGCUCAAUGUGAAGAGAUUGCUGCGUUGGUAUAAGUAUUUCUGGAUUUGCUGUUGAUAAGUGUGCUAACUUACUCCUAGUUAUGACAGAAAGCAUGAGCAGAAACCUGGUACAACACAGCCAUGGGGAAGGGGGUUGGGGGGGGAAACAAGAGGGCUUAUGGUAUUACCGUUUGCCUCUUCCUUCCAUGAAUUUGGCACAAAAAAAGCCCCAAAACGUCACUCACUGUCCUAACAAAAUGGGAAGCUGGCGUCCUGUUGUGCGCAAAAGGGGGUCUCUGAGCUCUGACCACGGAAUCCGAACCCUUUCACCCGAGCGAAUGUCUAAUCCCUCCCUCCUCCUUCCCUCAUUGACACGAUUAACAGGCUCCUCCUGACCUCGCAGGUAGUUUUCAUUUCAAACACUAACGGGACCCACCCAGCCUCCGGCGGGUGAGUUGGAAAGCAGCGAAAUCUCUUGACUUGCAUUGAGCGCCUUGCACUUUAUUACAGCUCGUUGAGUGUUGCGUCCCUCCCCACCCGCCCCCCCACCCAGCAGUGGGUCGCCCACCGUGCCGGCGUUGGCCAGCUCGCUUAGCCCCCAGCCAGAAGAGCACAAACCCCGUGAAGGGCCGCUUUGGAUGGUGAAAUAGCCUUCCCCUUUCCCACCCAACAACCCCCCCCCUCCUUCCUCCUGAAAGCGGCAGGUGGGCUAACUCGGGGGCCCAAGUGAAGCGAGCAAGUGGGAGAAAGGAAACAUAAACAACACAAGUCCUGACGUACGAGUCUGUCUUUCCAGACAAAUGUUUAUUUUUUUACAUGGAGCAUUGUUGAAUUUGUGCAAAAAAAAAAGAUAUAUUAUAUUCCGUUUUAAAAAUGAAUCAUAUAAACCCACUCCACUGCAUUUUGAGACGUUGAGGGGUGGGCUCGGGAGGGGGGAGGGGGAUGUUUGCCGGCGUGCAAGCCUUGCAGGGGCCACCCUCCGGUCCGGAAAGUCGAGCCCAGUGCAGCAUCCAUGACUCCCUCCCUUCCUCGCCCCCCUGCCGCACUGCACAGGCGUCAGGUAGACCAGGGCAUUGAGCAAAGGGCUGCCCCAUACUCAAGAGUGGGCGGUAAGGCGCACCUCCUGUUAGGGGUUGGCCUUUUGUGGGAACGAAAAUGCUCUUGUUUAACAAGUGCCGCUUAUUUAAACAAAACCCACGUGGUUUCUCGAAAACAAAAUUGAGUCCCAUUUUUCAUCCUCCCUCCCAAGCGGGAGUUAAAUCAGUGAGAUCCCAUGAGCGCUUUAGAUGACUACUUUUUUGACUUAACUCUGAUGCUGAUAUCAGGGUCUUCACUUUUGGUGUUAUUUUGUUACAGUUGGGUUUGAAGUAGAGAGAGAGAGAGUGAGUGAGUGCUACCAAAUUAAGCCUGUGACUUUCCAAGAAACACAACUUUUCCUGCUGUGGUUUUAAUGUGUUGCCUCAUUAAAAAAAAACUAAAAAUCCUAAAUUGAGCAGUGACUUGCUGUUUGUAAAGUGUAUCUGAAACGUAAUGUGCAUGACGUUGCAUGGGGGGUGCACAGAUAUUAAUUCUGGGCUUGCACGCUGGUGUAAGUGAGUGCUGCCUGUUGAACAGUGUGCAGUAUUUAUUCUAACUCCAGUUUUUUUUUUGUUAACAAUGAUCCACCUUUAUUUGUUACUAAUAAAACCGGCAUUGCAAAGGAAA
Non-coding RNA from Chiloscyllium plagiosum (whitespotted bambooshark), 10372 nucleotides. NCBI's taxonomy places the organism in Eukaryota, Metazoa, Chordata, Chondrichthyes, Orectolobiformes, Hemiscylliidae. The record is from RefSeq and is a predicted model, not a curated record.